CUCGUAGGCGGUUCGUCGCGUCCGGUGUGAAAGUCCAUCGCUUAACGGUGGAUCUGCGCCGGGUACGGGCGGGCUGGAGUGCGGUAGGGGAGACUGGAAUUCCCGGUGUAACGGUGGAAUGCGUAGAUAUCGGGAAGAACACCAAUGGCGAAGGCAGGUCUCUGGGCCGUUACUGACGCUGAGGAGCGAAAGCGUGGGGAGCGAACAAG
Molecule: ribosomal RNA, 209 nt
Filed under: uncultured bacterium
Lineage: Bacteria
Description: partial 16S ribosomal RNA
Rfam family: Bacterial small subunit ribosomal RNA
Source: RNAcentral